Molecule: ribosomal RNA, 468 nt
Filed under: uncultured bacterium
Lineage: Bacteria
Description: partial 16S ribosomal RNA
Rfam family: Bacterial small subunit ribosomal RNA
Source: RNAcentral
GACGAACGCUGGCGGCGUGCUUAACACAUGCAAGUCGAACGGAAAGGCCCUGCUUUUGUGGGGUGCUCGAGUGGCGAACGGGUGAGUAACACGUGAGUAACCUGCCCUUGACUUUGGGAUAACUUCAGGAAACUGGGGCUAAUACCGGAUAGGAGCUCCUGCUGCAUGGUGGGGGUUGGAAAGUUUCGGCGGUUGGGGAUGGACUCGCGGCUUAUCAGCUUGUUGGUGGGGUAGUGGCUUACCAAGGCUUUGACGGGUAGCCGGCCUGAGAGGGUGACCGGCCACAUUGGGACUGAGAUACGGCGCAGACUGCUACGGGAGGCAGCAGUGGGGAAUAUUGCACAAUGGGCGGAAGCCUGAUGCAGCAACGCCGCGUGCGGGAUGACGGCCUUCGGGUUGUAAACCGCUUUCGCCUGUGACGAAGAGUGAGUGACGGUAAUGGGUAAAGAAGCACCGGCUAACUACGUG